RNAcentral lists this ribosomal RNA (264 nucleotides) under uncultured prokaryote. Its description in RNAcentral is "partial 16S ribosomal RNA". It matches the Rfam family "Bacterial small subunit ribosomal RNA", at positions 524 to 788 of the family's 1533-position model. The record is from RNAcentral.
UACGUAGGUGGCAAGCGUUAUCCGGAAUUAUUGGCGUAAAGAGCGCGCAGGUGGUUGAUUAAGUCUGAUGUGAAAGCCCACGGCUUAACCGUGGAGGGUCAUUGGAAACUGGUCGACUUGAGUGCAGAAGAGGGAAGUGGAAUUCCAUGUGUAGCGGUGAAAUGCGUAGAGAUAUGGAGGAACACCAGUGGCGAAGGCGGCUUCCUGGUCUGUAACUGACACUGAGGCGCGAAGGUGCGGGGAGCAAACAGGUUUAGAUACCCU